RNAcentral lists this ribosomal RNA (460 nucleotides) under uncultured bacterium. Its description in RNAcentral is "partial 16S ribosomal RNA". It matches the Rfam family "Bacterial small subunit ribosomal RNA", at positions 338 to 795 of the family's 1533-position model. The record is from RNAcentral.
CCUACGGGGGGCAGCAGUGAGGAAUAUUGGUCAAUGGCCGUAAGGCUGAACCAGCCAAGUCGCGUGAGGGAAGACUGCCCUAUGGGUUGUAAACCUCUUUUAUGAGGGGAUAAAGGUGUGCACGUGUGGAUGUUUGCAUGUACCGCAUGAAUAAGGACCGGCUAAUUCCGUGCCAGCAGCCGCGGUAAUACGGAGGAUCCGGGCGUUAUCCGGAUUUAUUGGGUUUAAAGGGCGCGUAGGCGGGACUUUAAGCGUGCGGUGAAAUUUUGUGGCUCAACCAGGAGAGUGCGGCUCGAACUGGAGACCUUGAGUACGCGGAAGGCAGGCGGAAUGCGUGGUGUAGCGGUGAAAUGCUUAGAUAUCACGAAGAACCCCGAUUGCGAAGGCAGCCUGCCGAAGCGUUACUGACGCUGAAGCUCGAAAGCGUGGGUAUCGAACAGGAUUAGAUACCCUAGUAGUC